AUCGCUUCUCGGCCUUUUGGCUAAGAUCAAGUGCAGUAUAAAACACAUUAUUUUAUUUCAUCAUCUGUGAAAUCGUAUUUUUUAUUAUGGCAUCUUUAUAGAUGAAGCAACUGAGAUUCAGAAAGUUCAGGUGACUCACU
RNAcentral lists this small nuclear RNA (140 nucleotides) under Suricata suricatta (meerkat). RNAcentral's name for it is "U2 spliceosomal RNA (ENSSSUG00005018085.1)". It matches the Rfam family "U2 spliceosomal RNA". From Rfam's summary of the family: U2 is a small nuclear RNA (snRNA) component of the spliceosome (involved in pre-mRNA splicing). Complementary binding between U2 snRNA (in an area lying towards the 5' end but 3' to hairpin I) and the branchpoint sequence (BPS) of the intron results the bulging out of an unpaired adenosine, on the BPS, which initiates a nucleophilic attack at the intronic 5' splice site, thus starting the first of two transesterification reactions that mediate splicing. Lineage: Eukaryota; Metazoa; Chordata; Mammalia; Carnivora; Herpestidae. The record is from Rfam by way of RNAcentral.